GAUGGAGAGAUGGAUGGAUGGAUGGAGAGAUGGAUGGAUGGAUGAGAGAUGAUGGAUGGAUGGAGAGAUGGAUGGAUGGAUGGAGAGAUGGAUGAAGAGAUGGAUGGAUGGAGAGAGAGAGAUGAUGGAUGGAUGGAGAGAGAGAUGGAUGGAGAGAUGGAUGGAUGGAUGGAGAGAGAGAUGGAUGGAUGGAUGGAGAGAUGGAUGAAGAGAUGCAUGUGAAUGUGUGUUAUUUGAUUGCAUCCCAGCCACAGACUCAGAGAAUCAACAAAGGCAUUGUGGAGAAGGUCAUUACCCUAAACUAUUGAAGGUCAUUACCCUAAACUAUUGAAGGUCAUUACCCUAAACUAUUGAAGGUCAUUACCCUAAACUAUUGAAGGUCAUUACCCUAAACUAUUGAAGGUCAUUACCCUAAACUAUUGAAGGUCAUUACCCUAAACUAUUGAAGGUCAUUACCCUAAACUAUUGAAGGUCAUUACCCUAAACUAUUGAAGGUCAUUACCCUAAACUAUUGAAGGUCAUUACCCUAAACUAUUGAAGGUCAUUACCCUAAACUAUUGAAGGUCAUUACCCUAAACUAUUGAAGGUCAUUACCCUAAACUAUUGAAGGUCAUUACCCUUGAGCCGACAUCCACAGCAUUUCGGGGAAAUUGUACUGUCAUGGCCCAGAAAAUAAUUUCUUGCAUCCCUUUGUUUUGUUGUAGCUGUCCUCUUUACGGAGGUUACUGUCGUCUUUACGGAGGUUACUGUCGUCUUUACGGAGGUUGCUGUCGUCUUUACGGAGGUUGCUGUCGUCUUUACGGAGGUUACUGUCCCCUUUACGGAGGUUGCUGUCCCCUUUACGGAUCUCUCCUCCCCUUCCUGUCUGGGCCUUGAACUCUCCUCCCCUUCAUGUCUGGGCCUUGAACUCUCCUCCCCUUCCUGUCUGGGCCUUGAACCCUCCUCCCCUUCCUGUCUGGGCCUUGAACUCUCCUCCCCUUCCUGUCUGGGCCUUGAUCACUCCUCCCCUUCAUGGCUGGGCAGAUCAGUAUUUUAUUGUUUUCUCUGCUAUUAUUCAGUUGUAUUUCUGAUUGAAGAUGUCCACUACAUGACCAGAAGGACAUAUAGUGGACCUGCUUCACCUGAUGUGUUGCUGUAGCAUAUCGAGACCUGCUUCACGUGAUGUGUUGUUGUAGCAUAUCGAGACCUGCUUCACCUGAUGUGUUGCUGUAGCAUAUCGAGACCUGCUUCACCUGGUGUGUUGCUGUAGCAUACCGAGACCUGCUUCACCUGAUGUGUUGCUGUAGCAUAUCGAGACCUGCUUCACCUGAUGUGUUGCUGUAGCAUAUCGAGACCUGCUUCACAUGAUGUGUUGCUGUAGCAUACCGAGACCUGCUUCACCUGAUGUGUUGCUGUAGCAUAUCGAGACCUGCUUCAGCUGAUGUGUUGCUGUAGCAUACCGAGACCUGCUUCACCUGAUGUGUUGCUGUAGCAUAUCGAGACCUGCUUCACCUGAUGUGUUUCUGUACAUAUCAAGACCUUAAGCUUGAGGAAAAAGCUCAUGUCCGUACAAUAAACACUAUUUAUUUUGUAAUAUGUUAUUUGUUGCUUUAUGCAGUAAUUUAUCAAAUGAGAAAUAAAGUACAUUAUAAACA
Molecule: non-coding RNA, 1634 nt
Organism: Salmo salar (Atlantic salmon)
Lineage: Eukaryota; Metazoa; Chordata; Actinopteri; Salmoniformes; Salmonidae
Source: RefSeq, a predicted model, not a curated record